GACGAACGCUGGCGGCGUGCUUAACACAUGCAAGUCGAACGGAAAGGCCCUGCUUUUGUGGGGUGCUCGAGUGGCGAACGGGUGAGUAACACGUGAGUAACCUGCCCUUGACUUUGGGAUAACUUCAGGAAACUGGGGCUAAUACCGGAUAGGAUCUCCUGCUGCAUGGUGGGGGUUGGAAAGUUUCGGCGGUUGGGGAUGGACUCGCGGCUUAUCAGCUUGUUGGUGGGGUAGUGGCUUACCAAGGCUUUGACGGGUAGCCGGCCUGAGAGGGUGACCGGCCACAUUGGGACUGAGAUACGGCCCAGACUCCUACGGGAGGCAGCAGUGGGGAAUAUUGCACAAUGGGCGGAAGCCUGAUGCAGCAACGCCGCGUGCGGGAUGACGGCCUUCGGGUUGUAAACCGCUUUAGCCUGUGACGAAGCGUGAGUGACGGUAAUGGGUAAAGAAGCACCGGCUAACUACGUG
This 468-nucleotide ribosomal RNA is filed under the name uncultured bacterium. Its description in RNAcentral is "partial 16S ribosomal RNA". It matches the Rfam family "Bacterial small subunit ribosomal RNA", at positions 28 to 507 of the family's 1533-position model. The record is from RNAcentral.